GGUUCCCGUUACUUAUCUUUGGAAUGCCAUGAAUACCAUUGAUCAAGCAACUGGACAACAUAGGGGGUAAGUUCUUGUGCAUUUUGCAUUGUUAGAUUAAGCAUAUUGGUUAGUAGGGUAUUUCCUACAAUUUUGUCAAUACGAUGUAACCUGCACUGCUGUUUCAAUCAACUUGUUGUGAUUCCUUUCAGGCUUUCACUAAAACUAAGUAUUGCUAUUCCUUUAGUUAGUAUUGAAAAAUGGGUACUAUUUUACUAUUUAUAAGAUUUUCAUCUUAUGUGAUGUUUUUUUUUUUUAUUCAACUUUAUAAACUUUUAAAAUGUAAUAUUUCAUGGCGUGUAUGCUAUGCUUUUUUUUUACGAUGAACUAAAUUAUUAUUUUUGCCCUAGUGUAUUCACAUUAAACAGAAAAUAUCAGAAAAACAAAACUCUAGAGGAUGGUUGUUGUUCAAUUCAUCUAUAGAUUAUAAAUGUACAUCUUCCGAGUCCUUUUGGUGAAUUUUUCUUUUGGGGGCAGGAGGAGGCAGUAAGUUUCAUUGCAGUCAUGUUGUAGUUGCGACAAAAAAGGGUGGAAGUACAACAUCUUUACCUCAUAUCGUGGUCACAAUGCACUUACUCUUGUUUAAUCACCAUAUUUAUCUGAUUGGUCAUUGGUAGUUAUCUGCUGAUGAAAUUUGGCUUAGCUUUAUUUAGUAUUUAGAAAUUAUACUAUUUGAUUGUAUCAGUAUAUCAUUAAAGUCUGCUAAUUGCUGGGAUUUGAAGGCUACAAUUUUAUGAAAUCUUUUGAGUUUUUAAACUCUGCAACUAAUCUUGUUGCCCUCCAUUUAUAUUUCGACAUUGGUAUUUCAGGUACAUGAUUAUUUCAAGGCUUAACAGGGCACCGUCAAUACUUUAUACUGUGGUACUGUAUUACUGGUUGAUUCUUUGUCAAACCAUUGGAGAACAUAGAUAAAUUAUCUAAUUUCAUGAGUUUUUUAUAGUUUGUUUUGUUUAUGCUUCAAGCAAAUCAUCUGUGCUUGUAGAUUACAGUAAAUACUUACUUUAAGACUAUCUGCAGAGUUGUAGACAUGAAAGUUGGAGCAGUGUUGCCAAAUUUCUAACCGAAGAUGUUCCUCGCCUUUUAAAAUCAGAUGAUCUGAAAGACAUUCAGGAAGUACUCUUUGUUGUUUUUAAAUCUCCUCCUAGCGAAUUGAGAGAGUUUAUCACUUGGAUUGCUGAGGUUCGUAGGCAAGAAGACGGGAAUCUCACAUUGAGCGAGGAGGAGAAAGGAAGGCUAGCAAUCAAGGUUUUGAAAUUACUUACUUUUCUGUUAGGGGAAAAAUUAUCUCACUCUUGAAUUCGAUAAACAAACAAUCAUAAUGCUUGGGUGGUUUGAAAUUUCAGGCAGAUGUAUUGGAACAAAUUCGGUCAACUGCACUCUUCAAACACGUGACAACAUGGUUGGAUUCAGAAAGGUCGUGUUGUGAUACCACUGCAAGCCUUGAUGACAAAGAUAUGUUAUCGGCACUUGCUACACGUGUUUGCUGCCAAGGGGCGGAUCUCUUGACUGGUUGUCGUUUGUCAGGUGGAAAAUGUUGUAGUCAAAUAAAUGUAAAGCAUCUGAAUGUUGAUAGUGAAAAUCCGGUAACAUUGAUUUCCGGAACCGUUACAACUGGAGGCAAUAGUGAACAAGGAGUUGAUGUGUUGGUCCCUUUGUGUCAAAGGAAGCCGAGUAGCUUGUGUCUCUGUAAUGAAGGUCAAUGCAUUGGAAUGCACCCUUCUACUGCAGAUGUCUUAACAGUGCUUUUAUUGGCCUUGCCCUUGCAUACAUGGUCAGGCAUUAAAGACGAAAAGCUGCAUCUGGAAGUUGCGAGCCUUCUAACAACCGAAAAUCUCCUUCCCUUGCUUUCGGAAGAGGUAAUGUGCAUUUCUUAAGAACCAGUUUUCCAGUCCUUUUUUAAUCUAAAAUUUGAAAAAUUACUAAAAGUUCUCUUGAUAAAAAUAUGGACAACAACGAAACAAUGUGCAGUGAUUUUAUGCAGAAUAAAAGUGACUAUUUUGUCUAUAUGGUCAAUUUUGCCUACAAAAGGAGUUCAAGUUUAGCAAUUUUCCCCAUAAAUUUACCAUAUCUUAAAUUAAAGGGUAAAUUACACUUUUCAUGUUUGUAAUAUUCAUCCAAGUUAAUUCAGUACACUUAGUUUAAAAAUACAUUUUUAAUUUUUCUAGUUUUGAAAACAUACAAUUCAGUUUCACUUGAACGCCUUGAAAGGCCAUUUACCAUUUCAUUCAUAUAUAUAUUUGGCCGAGAAUUCUCCGAAAGGUACUUAACUAUUUUCCUUACUCUAUUUUCUACCGUUACUGCUACAACUAGAAUAGAUACCAUGAAAUUGUCAGUAAAAAUGGAUUUAUGCCUUUCUCAUUGUUAUUCCUUGUAUAAAUAGAGAUUAUAGUCUAUACUAGUAAUUUCAAUAAAUAAUUACAAUUAAUGAGAACAAAUCAAUUUCUGAUUUGUGUAACUUAUUCUAGAGACAAAUUGAUAAAUAUAAUUAAUGAGAUUAAUCAAUUCCUGAUUCACAACUCCCCUCAAAUUGAUGCGGAUGAUCAAGUAGCAUCAAUUUGUUAACAAGAAACUGAUGGCGCGGACGAGGAACAACUUUAGUAAGAUCAUCUGCAAUUGAGUGUUGGCGCGAGGAAGUGAAAUAACAUGAUUAUCACAGGUCUCCCUAAUAGAAUGACAAUCUACUUCAAUGUGCUUUGUGCACUCAUGAAAAACAGGAUUGGAAACAAUUUAAAUGGCACUUGUAUUGUCAGCAUAGGGAGAUGUUGGCUCUGUUUGAGGAAACCCAAGUUCAGACAAAAGACCACAAAGCCAAAUUAUUUCAGAACAAGCAAUUUGAAUUUGUUGAUUGUCGUGAUAAGAAUGUAAAUUGUGCAAAUACGCAGACGAACCUAUCAUGUGAUUCGAUGCACCAGAAUCAAGAAACCAUGGAUGAGAAACAUCAGAAAACUUACCCUGGAUGCCCAAGGCUGAAAGUGCAUAAAGUACCAUUUUUUGAAUCAUUUCAGGCUAAAUGGUACCGCCCUCAAAUGCACCACUAGAAGAAGGACCAACUACAAGUCUUGUCAUGGCAUGGAAUGCCUGCAUCGAACGUUGUGUGGGUCGUGGGGGACGUGUGGGACAGUCAGAGAUGAGAUGACUUUGUUCUUUGUAGUAAUUACAAAACUUCUUACUGCAACUACGAGCAACAUGUCCAAAUUGGUUGCAUGAGAAGCAUUGGACCUGUCGCAUAUCACGACCUUUACCUCUACUCUGGGCAGCAUAUGCAAGCGUCACAGGUUCAGAAACAACAUCAUGAGACAUGGUUCCUUGAGUAAGGAGACGUUGCUCCUCCGUGAGAAGCUCACCAACACAUGUAUCCGAAGAGGGAACAUGACUUCUAUUCAGUAAAGCACCUCUAACAGCCUCAAAUUUCGGACGAAGCUUCAUGAGAAAUUGAUCCCUCCUACUGGUAUUGUAGACAAUUUGGACAUCCACGAGAGAAGUCUUGGGAACAGCGGCAUGUAUAAUGGCAGAGUGUUAUGUCCACAAAUUUAAAAACCAGAAUAGUAUUCCUGAACAGACAAAUUACGUUGUUUGUAAUUGGUUAUCUUUAGCUCCAACUGAAAACGUUUGGCUGUAUUGUCUUGGUUGUAAAUACGCUCAGUUGAGAAAGAGCGCAAAUUAUUGAUCAUUUGAGGAUCAAUAGUACUGAGAGUCCAAGAAAUAAUUUGAGCAUCUUUGAUUUCCCACGCGUCUAAAGCAACUGUCUCUGGUGGUGCCUUAAAAAUCUCAUCCAAGUGACUCCAUAAUGCUCUCCCUUUGACAUACAUCUUGAGUUGAAAUUCCCAAGUAGCGUAGUUAUUUCCGGUGAAGCGAACACAAAACUAAUCUCUUUCUUUUUCCAAAGCCAUGAAAACUAGUAUUGUUGCAGCCAACAACAAAAUGGACGGGACAGCAAAACGUGAACAUCACAAAAUCACAACUUGCACUGGUAAAUAGAGGUUGGAACCUAACACGUCCACAAACUUAGACUUGUGAACAAGAAUAAGUGAACAAAUACAAUCACAAGCCAAAAUCGAAUCAGAAAUCAGAAACACAAGCGAACAAAUUCGACGACGAACAAACUUGAUCCCGGAAUCACAAAUUGAAGCAGAAAUUCAAUUGCGACCAAGGAGAAUCAUAUUUCAAGCAAGAGUUACGAACAAUGACAACCGAGAUCAAGAAACCACGAGCAAGAAAGCAGAAAGGGAUUUCGAAAAAUUCGAAAACCUAAACUCCAAGAAAUUUAGGAUCGUAACAAGCUGAUACCAUGUUAGUAAAAAUGGCUCGAUGCCUUUCUCAUUGUUAUUCCUCGUAUAAAUAGAGAUUAUAGUCUAUACAGGUAAUUACAACAAAUAAUUAUAAUUAAUGAGAACAAAUCAAUUUGUGUAACUUAUUCUAGGGACAAAUUAAUAAAUAUAACUAGUGAGAUUAAUCAAUUCCUGAUUCACAGAAUAUGUUGCCUUUUUUUUAAUGUAGAGUUUAUUCCAAAUUUUCCACCAAAAGGUUACUCUAUCUGAUAUUAGAGAAAAUUAAAUUAAAUUUUUGAUCAAAAUGGAGUUAGUUGAUCCCUGUCCAACCCGUCUAUAGGAAAAAGGCUUGAGCUGAUUUAAUGUUACCAUUGCCUAAUCUACAGUAAAGUUUAUCUGGGAACAAAAUUCAAGUGGUAAAAUGUAGCUUACAAUUAAUUAAAUCUGCUUGCCCUUAUUUUACUUAGUAUGAAACCAUAUAGCUCUUUUUCCUUUUUAUGUGUUUAUACUUAUAGCCCUUGAAAUCUCAUCCAAGAAUUUAAUUUUAAUACUUAAUACCAUUUGUUCAAUUCUCACAGUAAUAUCAUGACACAAUUGAAGAGAUAUUUAAUUAAUUCAAUCUUUACAUUUCAUAUGAUGGUGAUACUUACCAACCAGUUAUUCAUGAUCCAGGUUUUGUUCUUGCGAGAGCAACUUCACUCUCUCAUGACUGAUAAUGGUGCUCCUACUCCUUCCAACUGAUGAUACUCUUAGUUUUAGCUUAUGUAACGGGCUCCUACAAUAAAAUUAAAUUCGACCCGGUUUUAGCAUCGGUUCAAUACAUAACAUUCACAUGUUGUAGUGGUCAUGUUGAAUAGGUCAAAAACCAACUAUAGCUUUACCUUUGUGUGUAAGGGAUUUAAAACUGCAUAACUAUAAAAUAAUUGUGUACACAUGGGAAGAAUAGCAUGUGGAUCGCAUUACACAUUGUUGGAAGAAG
This 5286-nucleotide long non-coding RNA is filed under the name Cicer arietinum (chickpea). RNAcentral's name for it is "long non-coding RNA (CARI_LNC000826)". The record is from RNAcentral. Lineage: Eukaryota; Viridiplantae; Streptophyta; Magnoliopsida; Fabales; Fabaceae.